RNAcentral lists this non-coding RNA (37 nucleotides) under Alexandrium minutum. Lineage: Eukaryota; Dinophyceae; Gonyaulacales; Pyrocystaceae. The record is from RNAcentral.
AGUCGUCUUGACUCAAGUCUGCGAAGUGUAGGCGUCA